Molecule: long non-coding RNA, 1195 nt
Organism: Nicotiana tabacum (common tobacco)
Lineage: Eukaryota; Viridiplantae; Streptophyta; Magnoliopsida; Solanales; Solanaceae
Source: RefSeq, a predicted model, not a curated record
CUUGAAAUUGAAAAAAAUGGAAAGUCGCGCCCUUUUAUUUUUUUUAAAAACUUUCAAUUGGUAUUCCACUUGCUCGGUUUUCCUGUCCAGAUAUUUUAGGACUCAUGCCAACAAAAACUCCCUUUUCUUUUAGGAACAAGAGAGAGUAGUAUUUUUUUUCAAUUUGUCUUCUUUUAGGACCCAACUUUUCUUGUCCAGAAAUUUUAGGAUAUAAACUCCUCAAUCCUGAAAUUUGAGUUCUUCUCAAAGAGUGACAGCUCAAUGAAACCAUGUUGGGAACGAAUCAAACACUACCUUCGGUGGUCGAUAUAAGGACUCAUUCCGAUGCAUUAUAUUCACACCAACUCUUUCGAGUAUUUCCUUCCUUUAUAACUUUCCUGGCAGCUUGGAGAACUUGCAGGAGAAAAUUCAUAACUUGUUGUAGGAGCACCUGAAUCUUAACGGUUUGUGGAGCUGGAACGCAGACUCGUAGCACCUUGACAUAUCCGAAAAUCCUGAUCACAUAGCUCGUAGAUUUGUUUAGGAAUACCGAAAUCACAAACGGUUUAUGGCGCUGGAAAGUAGACUCGUGGAGCUUCGACAUGCUUAAAAAUCACGACCAGAAAGCUAAUAUAUUUAUCCAGGUAAUAUUCUGAAAUUCAGAGUUGCGAUCUUGCUAUAUUGCGUCUCCAGAUUUGCGCGCUCACUAGAUAGCUUGUAUCUUGACGUAGGCCCAAAAUCAAGCACUACUUGAUCAUUUGAAUUCUAAACUUCAGAGACUACUUUUACACCGAAUACUCGCACUUCAAUUCAUUGUGUGCUGGUUUCUAUGAUUUUUUUUAAAGUUAGCUGCAGGAUCUGAUUUUUCUGUUUCAAUUUUGGACAUGCUUCAUGAAUUUUAAUCUUUUUUCUCAAUUCCUUUCAUGCAACGUAUACAACCUUGACUUCUGGCAAUCAAGAUGCAAUUUUGUGACCAUAAUAAGCCACACCCUCAUCUUGAAAUCACGAGCGACGAGCAAAAUCAGUCCGAUAAAGUUCUCACCUUGAAAGUUCAUCCUCCAGUGAUCAGUUCCUUCCCUCGUGUUAGAAAGCUGCCUGCCACAUCUCUUCAUCUUACAGAAUGGUGGACAAGGGAGGCCAAAGAUGUUAUGGGCGAAUAUUUGGGCGAGGUCACUAGUGUAAGCACGUGAUUUUUGCCCUAUAUGAGAAAUACUCC